Molecule: long non-coding RNA, 532 nt
Organism: Carcharodon carcharias (great white shark)
Lineage: Eukaryota; Metazoa; Chordata; Chondrichthyes; Lamniformes; Lamnidae
Exons: 3
Source: RefSeq, a predicted model, not a curated record
UGGAAACUGGGCACGCCUGCCCUCUGACCUGGGCUCCAGCAGGUGACCAGGUGUGGACAGAGCACCUGCACCCUCUGUAACCUCUUAUGUGAGCCUGCGUCUUUUUCUUCGGCAACAGACCUAGUGUAAGAAGAUGGAAGUAGGCUGGGAAGCUCUUUGUCAGUAUGGAUAUGAUCGGCUGAAUGGCCUGUGUUGUAAAUUUUCUGAUUCCUAUAAAUAGAAUCCAAACUGCAACCUUCAGGAGAAAAUGGCUCACAAUAAAGGGAGAGGACCAGAACUGGUGGAGAACUAGCAUACAUCCAGGACCUUGGCGAGAUGGAGCUCUAAGCAGUAGUUACAAUCCAGGCAUGCAGAGAAAAGAGCAUUGAUAAUAUGGAGGCUAGAAACCAUGCUCAGCACAGGAUCUGCUUAUUACUUGAACCCUUCCUCCUUCUUUAAGAAAUUGUUUUAUUCAGGCAGCAUGGCAACCUGAUGCUGGAUAGUGUUGCCAAUCACCUUCUACUAUCCUUUCUGUGUCAAAUUGCCCCUUGUC